Molecule: transfer RNA, 67 nt
Filed under: Anadara kagoshimensis
Lineage: Eukaryota; Metazoa; Mollusca; Bivalvia; Arcoida; Arcidae
Description: tRNA-Tyr
Source: RNAcentral
GAGAGAUAGUGGAGUUGAACAUGGCAGGCUGUAAACCUGUUUACGGGCAGGUGUGCCCUCUCACUUA